Molecule: ribosomal RNA, 253 nt
Filed under: uncultured bacterium
Lineage: Bacteria
Description: partial 16S ribosomal RNA
Rfam family: Bacterial small subunit ribosomal RNA
Source: RNAcentral
UACGAAGGGAGCUAGCGUUGUUCGGAAUCACUGGGCGUAAAGCGCACGUAGGCGGCCAACUAAGUCAGACGUGAAAUCCCUCAGCUUAACUGGGGAACUGCGUCUGAUACUGGGUGGCUUGGAUCCGGGAGAGGGAUGCGGAAUUCCAGGUGUAGCGGUGAAAUGCGUAGAUAUCUGGAGGAACACCUGCGGCGAAGGCGGGUUGCUGGGCCGACACUGACGCUGAGGCGCGAAAGCCAGGGGAGCGAACGGG